UGCCACAUCAAAGUAGAUUGGGAAACUCUUCAAAUCAUUAUGAAAUGCCGAGACAAGCUUGGUCUUCCAAUGGCGGGCCCCAAGUUACCCUUAAUGGGAUACUGCGCGUAUUAUCUGCGCCAGGCGGAUUACAAAAGAAGACGAGCACUCAAACCCUGUCAUAUCGGAGUUUCAUCGCAUCCUUUGAUGUGGCUUUUUUA
Molecule: small RNA, 200 nt
Organism: Prevotella sp. CAG:873
Lineage: Bacteria; Pseudomonadati; Bacteroidota; Bacteroidia; Bacteroidales; Prevotellaceae
Rfam family: Bacteroidales-1 6S-Bacteroidales RNA suggested
Source: Rfam